Molecule: ribosomal RNA, 253 nt
Filed under: uncultured bacterium
Lineage: Bacteria
Description: partial 16S ribosomal RNA
Rfam family: Bacterial small subunit ribosomal RNA
Source: RNAcentral
UACGUAGGGGGCAAGCGUUGUCCGGAAUCAUUGGGCGUAAAGAGCGUGUAGGCGGCCAGAAAAGUCCGCUGUGAAAACUCGAGGCUCAACUUCGAGCUGUCGGUGGAAACUUUCUGGCUAGAGUCCGGAAGAGGAGAAUGGAAUUCCCGGUGUAGCGGUGAAAUGCGCAGAUAUCGGGAGGAACACCUAUGGCGAAGGCAGCUCGCUGGGACGUUACUGACGCUGAGACGCGAAAGCGUGGGGAGCAAACAGG